UGCCAGACUCCUACGGGAGGCAGCAGUGAGGAAUAUUGGUCAAUGGGCGGGAGCCUGAACCAGCCAAGCCGCGUGAGGGAAGAAGGUACAGCGUAUCGUAAACCUCUUUUGUCAGGGAACAAAGGCGGGGACUAGUCCCCGGAUGAGGGUACCUGAAGAAAAAGCAUCGGCUAACUCCGUGCCAGCAGCCGCGGUAAUACGGAGGAUGCGAGCGUUAUCCGGAUUUAUUGGGUUUAAAGGGUGCGCAGGCGGCCUGUUAAGUCAGCGGUCAAAUUGCGGGGCUCAACCCCGUACUGCCGUUGAAACUGCAUCCCUUAAGUGCGCGAGAAGUAUGCGGAAUGCGUGGUGUAGCGGUGAAAUGCAUAGAUAUCACGCAGAACUCCGAUUGCGAAGGCAGCAUGCCGGCUCCACACUGACGCUGAGGCACGAAAGCGUGGGUAUCGAACAGGAUUAGAUACCCGGGUAU
This 466-nucleotide ribosomal RNA is filed under the name uncultured bacterium. Its description in RNAcentral is "bacterial SSU rRNA". It matches the Rfam family "Bacterial small subunit ribosomal RNA", at positions 329 to 793 of the family's 1533-position model. The record is from RNAcentral.